Molecule: ribosomal RNA, 485 nt
Filed under: uncultured bacterium
Lineage: Bacteria
Description: bacterial SSU rRNA
Rfam family: Bacterial small subunit ribosomal RNA
Source: RNAcentral
AGUGAACGCUGGCGGCAAGGCCUAAUACAUGCAAGUCGAACGGCAGCACAGCAGAGCUUGCUCUGUGGGUGGCGAGUGGCGGACGGGUGAGGAAUACAUGGGAAUCUGCCCAGUCGUGGGGAUAACGUAGGGAAACUUACGCUAAUACCGCAUGCGCCCUUCGGGGGAAAGCCGGGGACCUUCGGGCCUGGCGCGAUUGGAUGAGCCCAUGUCGGAUUAGCUAGUUGGCGGGGUAAGGGCUCACCAAGGCGAAGAUGGUUAGGGGUUUGAGAGAGAGACCCCCCACAUUGGAACUGAGAGACGGUCCAGACUCCUACGGGAGGCAGCAGUAGGGAAUAUUGGGCAAUGGGCGAAAGCCUGACCCAGCCAUGCCGCGUGAAGGAAGACGGCCUUAUGGGUUGUAAACUUCUUUACUAUACGAAUAGAGGUUAGUACGAGUUACUAAUAGGAAGGUAGUAUAGCAAAAAGCACCGGCUAACUCCGUG